Molecule: small nuclear RNA, 306 nt
Filed under: Myotis brandtii (Brandt's bat)
Lineage: Eukaryota; Metazoa; Chordata; Mammalia; Chiroptera; Vespertilionidae
Description: 7SK RNA
Rfam family: 7SK RNA
About the family: 7SK was discovered as an abundant small nuclear RNA in the mid-70s but a possible function has only recently been suggested. Two independent studies have found that 7SK RNA binds the CDK9/cyclin T complex (known as elongation factor P-TEFb). P-TEFb activates transcription by phosphorylating the C-terminal domain of RNA polymerase II.
Source: Rfam by way of RNAcentral
GGAUGUGAGGGCGAUCUGGCUGCGACAUCUGUCACCCCAUUGAUCGCCAGGGUUGAUUCGGCUGAUCUGGCUGGCUAGGCGGGUGUCCCCCUCCUCCCUCACCGAUCCAUGUGCGUCCCUCCCAAAGCUGCGCACUCGGUCGAAGAGGACGACCUUCCCCCCCGAGGAGAGGACCGGUCUUCGGUCAAGGGUAUACGAGUAGCUGCGCUCCCCUGCUAGAACCUCCAAACAAGCUCUCAGAUAGGGUAGCAGAUUUGUGACAGCCCUACACUUCACAGGCAUCCCCAAAGUGAACAUACAAGCUUU